This 459-nucleotide ribosomal RNA is filed under the name uncultured bacterium. Its description in RNAcentral is "partial 16S ribosomal RNA". It matches the Rfam family "Bacterial small subunit ribosomal RNA", at positions 338 to 795 of the family's 1533-position model. The record is from RNAcentral.
CCUACGGGAGACUGCAGUGAGGAAUAUUGGUCAAUGGUCGGGAGACUGAACCAGCCAAGCCGCGUGAGGGAUGAAGGUACAGAGUAUCGUAAACCUCUUUUGUCAGGGAACAAAGGCGGGGACGUGUCCCCGGCUGAGUGUACCUGAAGAAAAAGCAUCGGCUAACUCCGUGCCAGCAGCCGCGGUAAUACGGAGGAUGCGAGCGUUAUCCGGAUUUAUUGGGUUAAAAGGGUGCGCAGGCGGUCUGUUAAGUCAGCGGUCAAAGCCCGGGGCUCAACCCCGGCCCGCCGUUGAAACUGGCAGUCUCGAGUUGGAGAGAAGUAUGCGGAAUGCGCGGUGUAGCGGUGAAAUGCAUAGAUAUCGCGCAGAACUCCGAUUGCGAAGGCAGCAUGCCGGCUCCACACUGACGCUGAGGCACGAAAGCGUGGGUAUCGAACAGGAUUAGAUACCCCUGUAGUC